Uranotaenia lowii is the source of this 384-nucleotide long non-coding RNA. RefSeq lists it as uncharacterized. Lineage: Eukaryota; Metazoa; Arthropoda; Insecta; Diptera; Culicidae. The transcript is spliced from 3 exons. The record is from RefSeq and is a predicted model, not a curated record.
UUUUUUUCGAUUCUCUAGUUGAAUAAUUUUACGCUGCUAUAAAACCUGAAAAGCGAUCACCACGAGCAGUACCGAUGAUAACAAUCCCUUGGACAAUUCCGGCGAUUGGAGGAAACAGUCGGACUUCAUGGUGGAAGCGACGUCCUGAGAUCGCACCAAGUAACAAGAGAACGGUGAGCCGAUCGACGAUAAGAUGUUUCAUCUUUCCCAAGCAUAUCCGCAAUCAACAAUGAGUGAGUUGUUGAUUCCAAUAACCUUCCGGACCACGGAGCAGAAAAAAUAAACAAAACUAUCAGAACUACGCAAAUGCUAUUUAUUUGAUCGGAAAGAUUGUUAUUCAGGCCAAAAUUUAUUAAGGAAAGUUUUUAACAAGUGACUGCAUAU